UGGACGCCAUGUGCAGGAGCUCGGCUGCAGGGGGGACGCGCCCAUGGGGAAGAGGAGGAGCUGCAGCUCGCCUACACCCUUGGAGCCGAGGAGAGGAAGGGCGCCAUGGGGGGCUCUGUGUCCUGCUGCAAGCGCCAUGGGAGAGGCUUGCUGCCGUGGAGGUUGUCGGCUGGAGCAGAGGGGCGAGAGGAACUCGUCUGCGCCAAGGAAGGGAGCAGGGAGCGCCAGGGUUGGGUGCUCGGCUGCUCAAGCCUCGUCGGUGCCAUGGGAGGAAGGGAAGGAAGCUCCCUGCGCGUUGGGGAAGAAGGCGUGGGGGAGAAAAGGCU
Molecule: unclassified non-coding RNA, 326 nt
Filed under: Zea mays
Lineage: Eukaryota; Viridiplantae; Streptophyta; Magnoliopsida; Poales; Poaceae
Description: misc RNA Zm00001eb305880
Source: RNAcentral